GAUGAACGCUAGCUACAGGCUUAACACAUGCAAGUCGCGGGGCAGCAUGGGGGUUGCUUGCAAUCCCCGAUGGCGACCGGCGCACGGGUGAGUAACGCGUAUCCAACCUGCCCUUCACCACGGGAUAACCCGGCGAAAGUCGGACUAAUACCGUAUGUUGUCCAUUGACGGCAUCCGAUUGGGACGAACGGUUGGGCGGGGAAGUAUGGGGAUGCGUCCGCUUAGAUGGACGGCGGGGUGACGGCGCACCGUGGCGACGAUCGGUAGGGGUUCUGAGAGGAAGGUCCCCCACACUGGAGCUGAGACACGGUCCCGACUCCUACGGGAGGCAGCAGUGACGAAUAUUGGUCAAUGGGCGUAAGCCUGAACCAGCCAAGUAGCGUGCAGGAUGACGGCCCUAUGGGUUGUAAACUGCUUUUAUGCGGGGAUAAAGUGGCCCACGUGUGGGUUUUUGCAGGUACCGCAUGAAUAAGGACCGGCUAAUUCCGUG
This 490-nucleotide ribosomal RNA is filed under the name uncultured bacterium. RNAcentral describes it as "partial 16S ribosomal RNA". It matches the Rfam family "Bacterial small subunit ribosomal RNA", at positions 28 to 507 of the family's 1533-position model. The record is from RNAcentral.